CAAAGCUAUUAAUUUUGUCUUUCCAGAAUUAUUUUCCCUUCCACAAUUCUGGUUUCAGAUCCAUACCACCACCCUUGCGUCCUGUCCCCAGACACACUUGACCCAGGAUUGGCCCAUGGAGUGCCCCAAGUCCAUCCAUUUAAGAGCCUUUUCCAGGACGAAAAAUAUAACUGGAUCUGAGAGAGAAAACAGUCUUCUCAGUGAUUGGUAUAUGGGCCCCAUGCUGCUGCUGACUAUGUUCCUUCCCCAAGAUAGAAAAAUCAUGGCAGCGGGAGAGAAUAAUGUGCAAGGAGAAGAGAGAUGGCAGAACAUCUGUUUUGUUGAAGAGCACAGCAAUGUUUACUGGACUAAGAAAUGGGCCUCUGCAGGUGAGUUUUAG
RNAcentral lists this long non-coding RNA (379 nucleotides) under Macaca mulatta (Rhesus monkey). RNAcentral's name for it is "lncRNA (ENSMMUG00000045736.2)". Lineage: Eukaryota; Metazoa; Chordata; Mammalia; Primates; Cercopithecidae. The record is from RNAcentral.